Molecule: long non-coding RNA, 438 nt
Filed under: Vulpes vulpes (red fox)
Lineage: Eukaryota; Metazoa; Chordata; Mammalia; Carnivora; Canidae
Description: lncRNA (ENSVVUG00000019372.1)
Source: RNAcentral
AUGGCAAGAUUUUCUGAGAAAGUGCCCAAGCCCCAGAGAUCACACACAGCCACCUUCACAGUAUGCUCUCACUCACUAGCAGGUGAGCUGUCACCAAGGGCCGGGGACAGUGCUUCUGCUCAUGGACCAUGGGGACGGCAAUGUUCAAGACACAUGUGCAUACGUUCCUGUGUGCCAGAUUCUCAACCAGGAUCUGGCUCCCAGGAGGAGGUGCUCCAUCAGGGAGGAGGGAUCGACCUGGGAGAGCCCUGGCUGCCCUCUGGAAGCUGCUGGCCUGAGCAAGAAGCCUCACCCAAUGCACUUCCUGCAGCUUCUCCCCAGUGCUCUGGGAUUCCCCGUACCCCAACUGGCCUGGGGAGUAGACAGUCUUGCAUAUACAACCUAAUUCUGUCAACAGUGAGAUUGCAAAGCUACAGGAAUAGGACCUUCUGCUGUUAG